RNAcentral lists this ribosomal RNA (382 nucleotides) under Pseudoflavonifractor phocaeensis. RNAcentral describes it as "partial 23S ribosomal RNA". It matches the Rfam family "Bacterial large subunit ribosomal RNA", at positions 1 to 387 of the family's 2925-position model. Lineage: Bacteria; Bacillati; Bacillota; Clostridia; Eubacteriales; Oscillospiraceae. The record is from RNAcentral.
GGUCAAGCUAAUAAGAGCGCAAGGGGAAUGCCUUGGCAUCAGGAGCCGAUGAAGGACGUGACAAGCUGCGAUAAGCUGCGGUGAGCUGCACAUAAGCUUUGACCCGCAGAUUUCCGAAUGGGGAAACCCGGCAGAGCAAUACUCUGUCAGCCUGCGUUGAAUCAAAUAGGCGUAGGUGGGGAACCGCCUGAACUGAAACAUCUAAGUAGGGCGAGGAAGAGAAAUCAACAGAGAUUCCGCAAGUAGUGGCGAGCGAACGCGGAAGAGGGCAAACCGGAGGAUUUAUCCUCCGGGGUUGUGGACUGACACAACGGUGAGAUAGGUUAGCUGAACGGUAUGGGAAGGCCGGCCAUAGCGGGUGAUAGCCCCGUAAGCGAAAGCU